Molecule: RNA transcript, 4998 nt
Organism: Parus major (Great Tit)
Lineage: Eukaryota; Metazoa; Chordata; Aves; Passeriformes; Paridae
Gene: CDC14B
Gene name: cell division cycle 14B
Exons: 15
Source: RefSeq, a predicted model, not a curated record
GCCACCGCCCUCGCCGCCGCGGGGUCCCUCCCCUCCCUCCGGCCGCCCGGUCCCCGCGGGAUGAAGGGAUCGUAGCGCCGCGGCCGCCUGCGCCAUGAAGCGAAAGACCUGGGCCGAGGCGCGGCGCCGCGCAGCCCCGCCGCCGCCCGCGCUGAAGAGGACGCGGGGCGCGGCGUCGCGGGCGGCGGGGGGCGAGGCGGAGCGGCGGCGGCAGCUGCCUCCCGUCGGGCUGGAGACCUGCCUGAGGAUCGCGGAUCGCCUUUAUUUUGCAAUUCUGUACCAAAAGCCAAAGAGUGGAGCUGCAAAUACCCAUUAUUUCUGCAUAGAUGAUGAACUUGUGUAUGAGAACUUCUAUGCAGACUUUGGACCGCUCAAUCUGGCCAUGGUCUACAGGUACUGCUGCAAGCUAAAUAAGAAAUUAAAGUCAUUUUCAUUGAUAAGGAAGAAAAUAAUUCAUUAUACUGGCUUUGAUCAGAAAAAGCAAGCGAACGCUGCAUUCCUCAUAGGCUCCUACGCAAUAAUAUACCUGAGAGAAUCCCCAGAAGAUGUGUACCGGCUUAUAUUGUCAGGAAGUGUUUCAUACCUUCCUUUCAGGGAUGCUUCCUUUGGUACUUGCAGUUUUCAUCUGACAUUACUGGACUGUUUUCAUGCAAUAAACAAGGCUUUGCAGUAUGGUUUCCUGGAUUUUAGUACGUUUGAUGUAAAUGAAUAUGAGCAUUAUGAAAGAGCAGAAAAUGGAGAUUUUAACUGGAUAAUACCAAACAAAUUCAUUGCCUUCAGUGGACCUCAUUCAAGAAGUAAAAUUGAAAAUGGCUAUCCCCACCAUGCUCCAGAGGCUUAUUUCCCAUACUUCAGGCAACAUAAGGUCACCACUAUAGUACGCCUCAACAAAAAAUUGUAUGAUGCCAAACGAUUUACAGAUGCUGGAUUUGAGCAUUUUGAUCUCUUCUUUGCUGAUGGAAGCACACCUAGUGAUACUAUAGUUAAAACAUUUCUAAAUAUUUGUGAAAAUGCUGAAGGUGUAAUAGCUGUUCAUUGCAAAGCUGGUCUUGGACGAACUGGCACACUUAUUGCUUGUUACAUCAUGAAGCACUAUCGGAUGACAGCUGCUGAAACUAUUGCCUGGAUCAGGAUAAAUAGACCUGGUUCUGUGAUUGGACCACAACAGCACUUCCUGAUGGACAAACAGGCAGAACUUUGGACAGAAGGGGAUAUUUUCCGUGCAAAGUUGAAAGGAAACCAUAAAAUUGCUGUAACAAGAAUUCUGUCAGGAGUAGAUGAUAUUUCAAUUAAUAACACAAGAAACAGGAGAACCAUCCAAAAGGACAUUGAACUGUACAGUGAUGAUGAUGAAACAAACUGUUUAACACAAGGGGAUAAGCUUCGUGCUCUGAAAAGCAGAAGGCAAGCAAGAGCUCCAGCUGCAUCUCCACUAGGAUGGCUCCUAGCUAUGCUGGUGUCUACACUGUGUAGCAUUGUCAUCUGGUGGAUUGUUUGUGGCUCCCUUCUGCCCAGCCUGCUAUUCUGUCUAGAUGGUUUAAGAACAUAGUAACCAUCAGGAUCCCCUGAAAGAGAGCCACUGUAGUAACUCUGCAUUCCAGUGUUCAGAAAAAUAAAACCUCUGAACCUAGCAUUUCUGACAGUACAGACAUUACUAAAAGAACUACCAGGUCUGCUGCAAGAAAAAACAGUUUAAAAAGCCAAUCCGUCACAAAGACUAGAACAGUAUUGCGUUGAAUUUUGAAUAAGCCACCAGUCUUGAAGAGGAUAUUCAGGAGUGAAGGGGAUAUAGAAGGGACUUGAUGCAAUUCAAGGAAGAUCACUUUGGCUGUAUUUUUCAGCAAAAAAUGAAAUAGAACAACCUCUUUCUUGCCUGUAGAAUAAAAUGAACUGUCAACAUGUUUGGUAGACCUUUUUCUACCGUCCUAACACUUUCUCAAAACGAAACAAAAUCUACAUACAUUCAGACUCAGGUGUAAAUAUUUUAAGCUCUCUAUUAUAAAGAGGGCUUGCCAGUAUGUAUGAUGCAUGUGUAUGAAUUGUGAUGGCAAUCACUUAGCUGCUGACCACCAGAUGGUGGGAGCUUUUAAGUAUAUAAAUCUGUGUUCUGCAUUCAGACUGGGCUUAAGUCUUCACUUGAGUCUGAGAAUCAACCACAAAAGCUUUUUUUUCUAACAGUAUUGGUACUCUCCUGUGUUGAUUGGCUGUUCUUUCUUACUUUGUAUGAAGUUUUUUAUGAAGCUGCAGUAUUGAGUACACAAUGUAACUAUUGUCCACCAAAGAGUGCUUUAUUGUCAAAGGUUGUGUGGUUUAUUUAGGAAAAAAUAAUUGUGACUGAUUAACUUGUUUGUAAUAGUGACAGCUUUUUAGUUGUUCACAACCAAUUGCUCUUUGAAAUAGUCAUAACUGCUUUAAAUCUGGUAUGAUUUUAAAGAGGGGGGAAACACUACCAUUUAAAGCAGUGCUGCCAUAUUGAAAUGUCAUUGCUGUUUCUUUUCCUGUCAAGUCCUUUAGGUGAAACUUUAAAUUACUAUAUAUGAAAGGUAAGAAUUCUCCCCAGAUUUGAUUGGUACACCUGGUAACCUGGACAGUGCUGGUUUUUUACUUUGUGACAGUUAAAGAAUGCAGCACACAUAAAAAAGGGAAAAUAAGGGUGCCAUACAACUGAGGUAGUAGAAUUCAGAGGCAGGUAAAAAUUUUGACAGCUAAUGCUUUAAGAACUACAAUUUGCCUCUGUUAAAAAGCAGUGUAAUUUUUAGAGGAAUCUGCUUGAGACUGAAAUUUUCAUUCCCUAUAGGACUACAGUGUUAUUUUUUUUCCUACUACUUUUCACAUUAUGACAUUUCAAAAGUGAUGUACCCUUGUCCACCAGCUGAUGGUUAUAGCUGCAUAUCCCUCAGAUGAGGGCUGUUACCACAUAGCCUUAAAUAUAAAUCAGUUAUUUGUUGGUUUAAUAACUCUUACAAUAGAAAGCAGAAGAAAUGGAGAAAUCUGAAAUGUUAGUAUUGGAAUAAUUGAAGUUUUUAAAGAUGCAUAUUAUCUCUGUGAGAGAGGGAAAUUUAUUUCAAUGAAUGUAGAUCUGCAGUGACUAGUUUUAAUCCACAUCCUUUUAAAUAGAUACUAAGCUUCCUGUUAGGCUGAUGACUUUUGAGUGCCAGUAUGAAUAUCACACAGUGGUUUUAAAACAUUUGAAUCAUGAACUGUAGAGGAAACAGGAUGUGAAAUGUAAGCAAGCUUACAGGUAACAUCCAUGUGCUUAGCUAGACAAAAAUCUGCAAAUAUGAAUACAAAUUAAAAAGAAAAGGUUUAAUGCAAAAUAAAGGAUCAUUGAAGGCUCAGACCGAAAAUAUCUUUUUUGUUUUCUUCUUAAACUUCCCUUUUCACCCCCUUUUCUUGUAGCUAAAAAGCUUCUAAAAGAGAGGGACUGAUCAUCCUGAUAAGGCAAUUAAAAUUCCUUAGGGUUUGAAUGGGAUUGGUUGAUUUGGUUUGGGUGGGAGGUUAUUUGGUUUUUUGGGGGUUGUUGCAGUUUAGAGGUUUUUGGGUUUGGUUUGUUUGGUCAGGGUUUUUUAGUCGGGGUUGUGUGGUUCAGGUUGGUUUUCUUGGUUGGGUGGCUUUUUUAGUUAGGUAGUUCUGCAAAAGCUUACGUACAGGCAACCACAGUAGUAGGUUUGUUGUGCAAACAUGAAUCUGCUCAUUUUUGAACAAAAUUCUCAUCUUGGAAGGCAAAACGGAUGCAAAUUGUGAAGUGAGAAUCAGAAUAAAGAUUCAGUAGUAUUUUCUGUGUUUGGCUUUGCCCUUCUCUCAGCUGAGCUGCAUGUUUUAGCAUCCUUUUUUUAAGUUAAAAAUAAUUUGUCUCCAUCUCACACCUUCCAAAUUCCAAAUCAAAAUUUGCCUCAUUUAAAGUAACUAGCAGAGUCAUUAGCACUUCUAGGUUUAUAAUGUUAGUGCCUAACAAUAGCAUAAUGUUAGUCCACAAAAAAUAGCAACUCUAGCUAAACCAAAACUGCAUGUUUGGCAUCAGUGUGUUUCAGGAUACCCCAUCCACAACACAGUACCUUGGUGAAAAACACAUAAAUGUCAAAGGGAUAUUACAUUUUAACUUUCGAAACAGCCUUUUAUGGAAAAUUAACCCAUUACCUCAUUGUGCCCCCCCAAUUGUACUGUUUAGUUUGUUACAAACUUUCAUUACCUUGUAUAAUAUUUUUAACGUACCAUACCAGAGGUGUUUUAGGUAAAAGAAUGAAGAGUGGGCAUGGAUGAGGAAGUCUUUGGUUUCUAGAUUUUUUCUGAAUUGUGAAUUAUUACAUGCCAAAAUUGAACAUCUUGUGGUAGUUACAUCACCUUUGUACAACAGAAGUUGUUUCUACUGUCAGCAGUUAGGAGAUUCUGCUUAGAAAUUCUCUUUCAAAUGUGACAGAUGGAUUCCCCCUCAAUCUAUUAACUCAAAAUACACUACAUGAUCAAAAGCUGUAAUAUCUUGGGUGAAAUUUCUACUUUGUAUUACAGCAUCAAAAACACUCAGAUGUUAACCUAGACCCUGUCUUUUUGCCUCAGUAUGACAGUAGAGGAAGCACUGCUGAUUUAAAACAAUAAGAGAUGAUAGAAAAAAACAAUACAAAACAUACAUGUGAUGUUCAGCAGUUUGUUGCACUGCAGUUUUUAUAUUAAUUGUUUGCAGACUGUCAUAUGUCAUAUAUAAACAUGGGUAAACACAGACUAUCAAGGUCUAAAAGUUUUUGACUAAUCAGUACUGUUCAUCCUGAUUAUUUUUAAACUGUAUAUUUCUAAUCAUAUUUUUUUAACUAGGAUUGACAGAAUGAAAGUUUAUUUUGCUGAAGGUAUUUUUAAGAUAAAACUUCAUAUUAUCUUGUAAUAUUAAUUAGUUCAAUAUGCAUUUCUGUGUCAUUUGAAAAUACUGCAGACUGCAUUUUAUAGAAAAUACUGAAUAGUGAGAAGUGUAAACAUGAAUUGUGUAAAAUUAAAAAUAAUCAGAAGGGU